GUAACGGAGCAAAAUGCUUACUUUUGGUUAAAAGCUUCCACUUUUAAUGUAAAGGAGAUGGAUUUAUAUAUUUCACUAAGGGUCUAGUAUAUUUAAGAAGAGUAAGGUAUUCAACAGACAUCUAUUGUGGACAAGAAGAUAAAUGCAAGGUAUUUAAGAUAAAUUCAAGGUAUUUUAUAAGAAGGGGGGAGAAGAUGAAAUCAAGAUAUUUUAUAAGAAGGGGCAAGAAGAUAAAAGCAAGGUAUGUUGCCUACUGACAGGGGUGCUCUCCAACCUCGAAGGAAGGAGAGAACUUGUACGGUAGCCAAAGGGUUAAGAAUGUUUGGUUAUGUAUACAUAUUUAUUCAAGCUAUGUAAUUAUGAAAUGUAGACAGUUGUCUUGUUGGUCAGAAAGAUAUUGACAGUCAGGCUGAGUGAACUAAUGUAUUGUAGACAGAGAUUGAGGUCAAAUGAGAUAUGGAGAGACAAGAGACCAAGUACUCACUGAAUAUAUCUCUUCAGCCUUUACCGGCAAAGCAUACAGUCAAUGUAUAAUAAUCCAGAGUUCAUCUAGUCCUAGAAAUUGCCUUCUUACACAAUGGUAGAGUUGAUAGUUUUACUGAAUAAUAUUGUCUGAUAUAAUUGAAUAUGAAGUAAAGAAAACUCCUUUAAUAAUUUAGCUCUGAUGCCACUAUCUAGCUACAUGUAUGUACAAUUCAUGUACAUGUGGCAUAAAUUUGCUUGGAAAAUCACACUGAAAUUUCAAAUCACAGUUUGGAUUUCAUGUCUACAGUCCACCUAAGGCUGGGGGAAUCUACAUUGUCUCGUUGUACGGUUGAUUUCUCUAUGAUUUGUGUAACAAUUCAAAGAAAAAUUGUGAAAAAAA
Molecule: long non-coding RNA, 865 nt
Organism: Strongylocentrotus purpuratus (purple sea urchin)
Lineage: Eukaryota; Metazoa; Echinodermata; Echinoidea; Camarodonta; Strongylocentrotidae
Exons: 2
Source: RefSeq, a predicted model, not a curated record